Molecule: long non-coding RNA, 454 nt
Filed under: Homo sapiens (human)
Lineage: Eukaryota; Metazoa; Chordata; Mammalia; Primates; Hominidae
Description: HSALNT0109418
Source: RNAcentral
CAAUCAGUUUGUAACUCCAACAUGCUCCUAGGAUGGCUGACCCAUAGUUCACAGCGGGGCAUGAAUAGAGAUGAGGACUUCUGAAUUAGUGUCAUGCUCAUGCACUCACUCAUAUUUACUCUCAACAUAACACCCUGUGUUGGUUUCAAGUUGGCUUCAAAAACCAGCAUUUCCAGGGAAGACAUGCUAAGUUGCCACCCUCUCCAACUACGAAUCUAUAGACAAGAUUCUUCCCAGCUCCAGCCACCUGUAGGUUCUGCUAAGAAGACCAAUACCCUACAUAAGAAGAGAUACUAUGUGAUAUGGAAUUAAGAGCCAUCAGAACUCAACAAUUCUGACUGCACAAUUAUUAAUGCACACUCUUCUGCCUACCUAGUGCAUAGGCUAGGGGAUAUUCAAAGAGGUCCUUAAGUUGUUGUCCUUAGCGGUCCUCCAGGCACUAUAAAGAUUGAUG